UUGAACGCUGGCGGCAUGCCUUACACAUGCAAGUCGAACGGUAACAGGUCUUCGGAUGCUGACGAGUGGCGAACGGGUGAGUAAUACAUCGGAACGUGCCCGAUCGUGGGGGAUAACGGAGCGAAAGCUUUGCUAAUACCGCAUACGAUCUACGGAUGAAAGCGGGGGAUCGCAAGACCUCGCGCGAGUGGAGCGGCCGAUAUCAGAUUAGCUAGUUGGUGGGGUAAAGGCCCACCAAGGCGACGAUCUGUAGCUGGUCUGAGAGGACGACCAGCCACACUGGGACUGAGACACGGCCCAGACUCCUACGGGAGGCAGCAGUGGGGAAUUUUGGACAAUGGGCGAAAGCCUGAUCCAGCAAUGCCGCGUGCAGGAUGAAGGCCUUCGGGUUGUAAACUGCUUUUGUACGGAGCGAAAAGGUCUGCCCUAAUACGGUGGGCUCAUGACGGUACCGUAAGAAUAAGCACCGGCUAACUACGU
RNAcentral lists this ribosomal RNA (480 nucleotides) under uncultured bacterium. RNAcentral describes it as "bacterial SSU rRNA". It matches the Rfam family "Bacterial small subunit ribosomal RNA", at positions 30 to 506 of the family's 1533-position model. The record is from RNAcentral.